ACGAACGCUUGCGGCGUGCUUAACCCAUGCAAGUCGAACGGAAAGGCCCUGCUUUUGUGGGGUGCUCGAGUGGCGAACGGGUGAGUAACACGUGAGUAACCUGCCCUUUACUUUGGGAUAACUUCAGGAAACUGGGGCUAAUACCGGAUAGGAGCCUCUUCUGCAUGGUGGGGGUUGGAAAGUUUCGGCGGUUGGGGAUGGACUCGCGGCUUAUCAGCUUGUUGGUGGGGUAGUGGCUUACCAAGGCUUUGACGGGUAGCCGGCCUGAGAGGGUGACCGGCCACAUUGGGACUGAGAUACGGCCCAGACUCCUACGGGAGGCAGCAGUGGGGAAUAUUGCACAAUGGGCGGAAGCCUGAUGCAGCAACGCCGCGUGCGGGAUGACGGCCUUCGGGUUGUAAACCGCUUUCGCCUGUGACGAAGCGUGAGUGACGGUAAUGGGUAAAGAAGCACCGGCUAACUACGUG
This 467-nucleotide ribosomal RNA is filed under the name uncultured bacterium. Its description in RNAcentral is "partial 16S ribosomal RNA". It matches the Rfam family "Bacterial small subunit ribosomal RNA", at positions 29 to 507 of the family's 1533-position model. The record is from RNAcentral.